CCGUACUGUGUUGCUUUGGCGGGCCCGCCGUUCAGGCUGCCGGGGGGUAGGAAUGAUGCCCUGCCCCCGGGCCCGUGUCCGCCGGAGAUGAGGGAAAAACUCUUGUUGUCGGAUAUGCUGUCUGAGUGGAUAACAGAAGAAAUCAUUUAAAACUUUCAACAAUGGAUCUCUUGGUUCCGGCAUCGAUGAAGAACGCAGCGAAAUGCGAUAAGUAAUGUGAAUUGCAGAAUUCCGUGAAUCAUCGAAUCUUUGAACGCAUAUUGCGCCCUCUGGCAUUCCGGAGGGCAUGCCUGUCCGAGCGUCAUUGCCAUCCCUCAAGCCCGGCUUGGGUGUUGGGCCGUCGUCCCCUCCCCCAGGGGGGACGGGCCCGAAAGGCAGUGGCGGCGCCGGGUUCGGUCCUGGAGCGUAUGGGGCUUCAUUACUCCGCUCUGCAGGAUCGACCGGGGCCAGCCUCCCUGGUCUUCCCCUCUUAGGUUGACCUCGGAUCAGGUAGGGAUACCCGCUGAACUUAAGCAUAUCAAUAAGCGGAGGAAAAGAAACCAACCGGGAUUGCCCUAGUAACGGCGAGUGAAGCGGCAAGAGCUCAAAUUUGAAAUCUGGCCUCCUGGGUGGGGGUUCGAGUUGUAAUUUGGAGAGGAUGCUUCGGGCUCGGUUCCCAUCUAAGUGCCCUGGAACGGGUUGUCAGAGAGGGUGAGAAUCCCGUCUGGGAUGGGUGGCCGGGUCUAUGUGUAGCUCCUUCGACGAGUCGAGUUGUUUGGGAAUGCAGCUCCAAGUGGGUGGUAAAUUUCAUCUAAAGCUAAAUAUUGGCCGNAGNCCGAU
This 819-nucleotide ribosomal RNA is filed under the name uncultured fungus. RNAcentral's name for it is "eukaryotic LSU rRNA". The stretch from base 476 to 819 matches the Rfam family "Eukaryotic large subunit ribosomal RNA", at positions 1 to 338 of the family's 3401-position model. The record is from RNAcentral. Lineage: Eukaryota; Fungi.